UGGCACGGCCCGCGGUGGCUGGCACCGUCCCCUCCGCGCCGGGGCCCGGGCUAGUGAGACGGCCUCCCGGCUCCACCUGGCUUCCCUGAAGCUGCUUCUCCCUCUUGCGGUCGCUGGCGAGGCGGAGUCAUGUUCCCACACACAGAACGGGUUCAGAGUGUACUAGAUUGGAUGCAGCUGAAAGAGCUAAAAGAAACUGAAGCCUGGAGAGGUGACAAGCACUUAUCAUUUAUUGAAAAGAUCUGACUUCCAAAGCAAGGGAGACAGAAGCAAAAUUAACCAAAUGGGACUACAUCAAACUAAAAAGCUUCUGCACAGUGAAGGAAACCAUCAACAAAAUGAAAAGGCAACCUACUGAAUGGGAGAAGAUAUUUGUAAGUCAUAUAUCCAAUAAAGGGUUAAUAUCCAAAAUAUAUAACAACAAAAAACCCCACAAACAAUCUGAUUAAAAAAUGG
Camelus dromedarius (Arabian camel) is the source of this 456-nucleotide long non-coding RNA. RefSeq lists it as uncharacterized. The record is from RefSeq and is a predicted model, not a curated record. The transcript has 3 exons. NCBI's taxonomy places the organism in Eukaryota, Metazoa, Chordata, Mammalia, Artiodactyla, Camelidae.